RNAcentral lists this ribosomal RNA (426 nucleotides) under uncultured Chlamydiae bacterium. RNAcentral's name for it is "bacterial SSU rRNA". It matches the Rfam family "Bacterial small subunit ribosomal RNA", at positions 958 to 1385 of the family's 1533-position model. Lineage: Bacteria; Pseudomonadati; Chlamydiota; Chlamydiia. The record is from RNAcentral.
AACGCGAAGAACCUUACCCAGGCUCGAAAUGUAAUGGGCGAUAUCAGAGAUGAUAUUUUCCGCAAGGACUAUUAUAUAGGUGCUGCAUGGCUGUCGUCAGCUCGUGCCGUGAGGUGUUGGGUUAAGUCCCGCAACGAGCGCAACCCUUAUCAUUAGUUGCCAACACGCGAGGUGGGGACUCUAAUGAGACUGCCUGGGUUAACCAGGAGGAAGGUGAGGAUGACGUCAAGUCCGCAUGGCCUUUAUGUCUGGGGCUACACACGUGCUACAAUGGUCGGUACAGAAGGCAGCAAGACCGUAAGGUGGAGCAAAUCCGAAAAGCCGAUCACAGUUCAGAUUGUAGUCUGCAACUCGACUACAUGAAGUUGGAAUUGCUAGUAAUGACGUGUCAGCAACAACGUCGUGAAUACGUUCCCGGGCCUUGUA